AGUUGUUGCAGUUAAAAAGCUCGUAGUUGAAUUUCGGGGUUAGUAGGUUGGUCAUGCCUCUGGUAUGUACUGGUCUCACUGAUUCCUCCUUCCUGAUGAGCCGUAAUGCCAUUAAUUUGGUGUUGCGGGGAAUUUGGACUGUUACUUUGAAAAAAUUAGAGUGUUUAAAGCAGGCUUACGCUUGAAUACAUUAGCAUGGAAUAAUGAAAUAGGACGUUUGAUUCUAUUUUGUUGGUUUCUAGGAUCGACGUAAUGAUUAAUAGGGGUAGUUGGGGGCAUUAGUAUUCAAUUGUCAGAGGUGAAAUUCUUGGAUUUAUUGAAGACUAACUACUGCGAAAGCAUUUGCCAAGGAUGUUUUCAUUAAUCAAGAACGAAAGUUAGGGGAUCGAAGACGAUCAGAUACCGUCGUAGUCUUAACCAUAAACUAUGCCGACUAG
Molecule: ribosomal RNA, 437 nt
Filed under: uncultured Glomus
Lineage: Eukaryota; Fungi; Glomeromycota; Glomeromycetes; Glomerales; Glomeraceae
Description: SSU rRNA
Rfam family: Eukaryotic small subunit ribosomal RNA
Source: RNAcentral